This 223-nucleotide ribosomal RNA is filed under the name uncultured bacterium. RNAcentral's name for it is "partial 16S ribosomal RNA". It matches the Rfam family "Bacterial small subunit ribosomal RNA", at positions 524 to 746 of the family's 1533-position model. The record is from RNAcentral.
UACGUAGGGUGCAAGCGUUAAUCGGAAUUACUGGGCGUAAAGCGUGCGCAGGCGGUUUUGUAAGUCUGUCGUGAAAGCCCCGGGCUCAACCUGGGAAUUGCGAUGGAGACUGCAAGGCUUGAAUCUGGCAGAGGGGGGUAGAAUUCCACGUGUAGCAGUGAAAUGCGUAGAGAUGUGGAGGAACACCGAUGGCGAAGGCAGCCCCCUGGGUCAAGAUUGACGC